This 491-nucleotide ribosomal RNA is filed under the name uncultured bacterium. RNAcentral describes it as "partial 16S ribosomal RNA". It matches the Rfam family "Bacterial small subunit ribosomal RNA", at positions 29 to 506 of the family's 1533-position model. The record is from RNAcentral.
AGUGAACGCUGGCGGUAGGCCUAACACAUGCAAGUCGAACGGCAGCACAGUAAGAGCUUGCUCUUACGGGUGGCGAGUGGCGGACGGGUGAGGAAUACAUCGGAAUCUACUUUUUCGUGGGGGAUAACGUAGGGAAACUUACGCUAAUACCGCAUACGACCUACGGGUGAAAGCAGGGGAUCUUCGGACCUUGCGCGAGUGAAUGAGCCGAUGUCGGAUUAGCUAGUUGGCGGGGUAAAGGCCCACCAAGGCGACGAUCCGUAGCUGGUCUGAGAGGAUGAUCAGCCACACUGGAACUGAGACACGGUCCAGACUCCUACGGGAGGCAGCAGUGGGGACUAUUGGACACUGGGCGCAAGCCUGAUCCAGCCAUACCGCGUGGGUGAAGAAGGCCUUCGGGUUGUAAAGCCCUUUUGUUGGGAAAGAAAAGCAGCAGGUUAAUACCCCGCUGUUCUGACGGUACCCAAAGAAUAAGCACCGGCUAACUUCGU